RNAcentral lists this ribosomal RNA (575 nucleotides) under uncultured haloarchaeon. RNAcentral describes it as "bacterial SSU rRNA". It matches the Rfam family "Archaeal small subunit ribosomal RNA", at positions 340 to 914 of the family's 1478-position model. The record is from RNAcentral. Lineage: Archaea; Methanobacteriati; Methanobacteriota; Halobacteria; Halobacteriales; Halobacteriaceae.
CGCGAAACCUUUACACUGCACGAGAGUGCGAUAAGGGGACUCCCAGUGCGAGGGCAUACAGUCCUCGCUUUUCUGGACCGUAGGGAGGUCCAGGAACAAGUGCUGGGCAAGACCGGUGCCAGCCGCCGCGGUAAUACCGGCAGCACGAGUGAUGGCCGAUAUUAUUGGGCCUAAAGCGUCCGUAGCCGGCCAGACAAGUCCGUUGGGAAAUCCACGUGCUCAACACGUGGGCGUCCAGCGGAAACUGUCUGGCUUGGGGCCGGAAGACCCAAGGGGUACGUCCGGGGUAGGAGUGAAAUCCCGUAAUCCUGGACGGACCGCCGAUGGCGAAAGCACCUUGGGAGGACGGACCCGACGGUGAGGGACGAAAGCCAGGGUCUCGAACCGGAUUAGAUACCCGGGUAGUCCUGGCCGUAAACGAUGUCCGCUAGAUGUGGCGCAGGCUACGAGCCUGCGCUGUGCCGUAGGGAAGCCGUGAAGCGGACCGCCUGGGAAGUACGUCUGCAAAGAUGAAACUUAAAGGAAUUGGCGGGGGAGCACUACAACCGGAGGAGCCUGCGGUUUAAUUGGAAUCA